This 3774-nucleotide long non-coding RNA is filed under the name Elaeis guineensis (African oil palm). Its description in RNAcentral is "long non-coding RNA (EGUI_LNC011086)". The record is from RNAcentral. Lineage: Eukaryota; Viridiplantae; Streptophyta; Magnoliopsida; Arecales; Arecaceae.
GGCUUAAGACAAUUAGUUUUAGUUGGUUCAGCUAACCUAAACCUAUUAUCCACCAAAAUUAUCUCCAAAAUCCAAAACCAACAUGGUUGAACUUAAUGUCUUCUCUUUUUCUGCACCUUAUGACUUUUGGAGCUUGUGCCUUGGAGUAAAUGGAGGUGUAAUGGGCUAAAGUUAAUGCCUCCUUUUCUCUUUCAUCUUUUGACCUUUUGGAGUCAGUAUUUUGGAGAAAACGAAAAGACAAGAGACAAGCUGAUUUUUAAUGCAGUGCUGUCUUGGAAAAAUGAAGAGACAAGCUGAUUUUUAAUGCAGUGCUGCUUAAAAAAAUGAAGAGACAACAGAAAUAAAUAUGAGGCUGAUUUUUGGCAUUAUAAAUAUCCAAGUGUUGAAGCUUGGGAGGGGAGAUUUUUGAAGAACAGAAAUUUUCUAUUGUCCCUUUAUCUUCUUUUCUCCUAUUGAUCGUGUUACUUCUUUCUCGCGGCGUGGUUGGCUUCUUCCACUUCAACAAUACCUCUUCCAGUCUGCUGCCCCUCUUUUCCUUCCUUCUUCUCUUGCUGAAAUUCUACUUGUGGUGGUGAGGCCGCUAUCCUCGUCAGUUGUGGAUCCCCCGCAGUCAUCCGAUCGGUAUACUGUUGUCUCUCUUGAAUCCCAACCUCUCCUUAUCCCGAGUAUCAUUAUUUUCCAGCCAUCCCUACACUAUCAUCAACCCUUGCUGAAUCAACCGAAAACUAAGAGUUUUAUGUCCGAUAGGAUCAAACUUACUACUUUUGUGGAAACAUUUAUAAGUAGUUUAGUUGGAUAAUAUUAUUAUUUCUUAUAUAGUGUGCUCCCUAUCAUCUUUGUGUUGCUCCUAGUUGGCUUUUACUAUCAUUUUCUUGCUGAAAUUUUAUUUACUAUUUUGCUUAUGGUGAUUGAAGUUUUCUAGAAUUCUCAAAACAAAAAAAAGAUUAAUUAGUUUUCAAAGUUUUAAUUAAAAUUUUAAUUUUUGCAACCUCACGUUUGCAUUAAUUGGUAUCAAAACAAUAAUAUUACUCAACUAAACUGCUUAUAAAUGUUCCAACAAAAGUAGUAAGUUGGAUUUUAUCGGGCAUAAAAUUUUUAGUUUUCGGUUGAUUCAGUAAGGGUUGAUGAUAGUAGAGGGAUGGCUGAAAAAUAAUGAUACCUGGGAUAAGGAGAAGGAUUCAAGAGGAACAACGGUGUACCAAUCGUGUGAUUGAGAGGUUAGGUGCGGAGCCUCACUCGAAUAGUGAUGCAAACGUGAGGUUGCAAAAACUAAAAUUUCAAUUAAAAUCUUGAAAAUUAGUUAAUCUUUUUUUUUUGUUUUGAGAAUUUUAGAGAACUUCAAUCACCAUAAGCAAAAUAGUAAAUAAAAUUUCAGCAAGAAAGUAAUAAUAAAAUUCAACUAAGAGCAAUACAAAGAUAAUAGGGAGCACACUAUAUAAGGAACAAUAAUAUUACUCAAUUAAAUUACUUAUAAAUUUUUUCACAAAAGUAGUAAGUUUGAUCCUAUCGGGCAUAAAAUUUUUAGUUUUCGGUUGAUUCAGCAAGGGUUGAUGAUAGUGGAGGGAUGGCUGGAAAAUAAUGAUACCUGGGAUAAGGAGAGGUCAGGAUUCAAGAGGGACAACAAUGUACCGAUCGCGUGACUGCGGGGGAUCUACGGCUGACGAGGAUAGCGGCCUCACCACAGGUAGAAUUUCAGCAAGAGGGAAAGGAAGGAAAAGAGGGGCAGCAAGCCGGAAGAAGUAUUGUUGAAGAGGAAGAAGCCAACCAUGCCGUGAGGAAGAAGCGACACGAUCAAUGGGAGAAAGGAAGAAGAUAAGGGGACAAUAGAAAAUUUAUGUUCUUAAAAAAUCUCCCCUCCCAAGGUUCAACAUUUGGAUAUUUAUAAUGCCAAAAAUCAGUCUCAUAUUAAUUUCUGUUGUCUCUUCAUUUUUUAAAGCAGCACUGCAUUAAAAAUCAGUGUCUCUUCAUUUUUUCAAGACAGCACUGCAUUAAAAAUCAGCUUGUCUCGUCUUUUUGUUUUCUCCAAAACAUUGACUCCAAAAGGUCAAAAGAUGAAAGAGAAGAGGAGGCAUUAACUUUAGCCCAUUAUUUGUCUGUGUCUAAUUCAGGCUUAAGACAAUUAGUUUUAGUUGGUUCAGCUAACUUAAAUCUAUCAUCCACCAAAAUUAUCUCCAAAAUCUAAAACCAACAUGGCUGAACUUAAUGUCUUCUCUUUUUUUGCACCUUAUGACUUUUGGAGCAUGUGCCUUGGAAUAAAUGGAGGAGUAAUGGGCUGAAGUUAAUGCCUCCUCUUCUCUUUCAUCUUUUGACCUUUUGGAGUCGGUAUUUUGGAGAAAACGAAAAGGCAAGAGAUAAGCUGAUUUUUAAUGCAGUGCUGCCUUGGAAAAAUGAAGAGACAAGCAUAUUUUUAAUGCAGUGCUGCCUUGAAAAAUGAGGAGACAACAGAAAUCAAUAUGAUGUUAAUUUUUGGCAUUAUAAAUAUCAAAAUGUUGAAGCUUGGGAGAAGAGAUUUUUGAAGAACAGAAAUUUUCUAUUGUCCCCUUAUCUUCUUCCUUUCUCCUAUUGAUCGUGUCGCUUCUUCCUCGUGGCGUGGUUGGCUUCUUUCUUUUCAACAAUACUUGAACUGAUGCAGCUACUAGUGCUGCGAUCAUCAUUUCUUAUUUUAUUACAUGCAAAUUUUUUUUUAUUUUGUGAGUUUGUGUCUAAUUCGGGCUUAAGAUAAUUAGUUUUAGUUGAUUCAGCUAAUCUAAACCUAUUAUCCAUCAAAAUUAUCUCCAAAAUCCAAAACCAACANNNNNNNNNNNNNNNNNNNNUUUGUGAGUUUGUGUCUAAUUCGGGCUUAAGAUAAUUAGUUUUAGUUGAUUCAGCUAAUCUAAACCUAUUAUCCAUCAAAAUUAUCUCCAAAAUCCAAAACCAACAUGGUUGAACUUAAUGUCUUCUCUUUUUCAGUACCUUAUGACUUUUGGAGCAUGUGCCUUGGAGUAAAUGGAGGAGUAAUGGGCUGAAGUUAAUGCCUCUUCUUCUCUUUCAUCUUUUGACCUUUUGGAGUUAGUAUUUUGGAGAAAACAAAAAAACAAGAGACAAGCUGAUUUUUAAUGCAGUGCUGCCUUGGAAAAAUGAAGAGACAAGCUGAUUUUUAAUGUAGUGCUGCCUAAAAAAAUGAAGAGACAACAGAAAUCAAUAUGAGGCUGAUUUUUGGCAUUAUAAAUAUCCAAAUGUUAAAGCUUGGGAGGGGAGAUUUUUGAAGAACAGAAAUUUUCUGUUCUCCCCUUAUCUUCUUUCUUUCUCCAAUUGAUCGUGUCACUUAUUCCUCGCGGCGUGGUUGGCUUCUUCCUCUUCAACAAUACUUCUUCCAGCCUGCUGUCUCUCUUUUCCUUCUCCUCAUGCUGAAAUUCUACCUGUGGUAAGGCCGCUAUCCUCGUCAGCUGUGGAUCCCCCGCAGUCACGCGAUCGGUAUACUGUUGUCCCUCUUGAACCCUAACCUCUCCUUAUUCCAGAUAUCAAUAUUUUCCAGCCAUCCCUCUACUAUCAUCAACCCUUGCUGAAUCAACCGAAAACUAAGAGUUUUAUGUCCGAUAGGAUCACACUUACUACUUUUGUGGGAAUAUUUAUAAGUAGUUUAGUUGGAUAAUAUUAUUGUUCCUUGUAUAGUGUGCUUCCUAUCAUCUUUGUGUUGCUCUUAGUUGGAUUUUACUAUCACUUUCUUGCUGAAAUUUUAUUUACUAUUUUGCUUAUGGUGGUUGAAGUUAUCUAGAAUUCUCAAAACAAAAAAAU